AAAUUGAAGAGUUUGAUCAUGGCUCAGAUUGAACGCUGGCGGCAGGCCUAACACAUGCAAGUCGAACGGUAGCACAGAGAGCUUGCUCUCGGGUGACGAGUGGCGGACGGGUGAGUAAUGUCUGGGAAACUGCCUGAUGGAGGGGGAUAACUACUGGAAACGGUGGCUAAUACCGCAUAACGUCGCAAGACCAAAGAGGGGGACCUUCGGGCCUCUUGCCAUCAGAUGUGCCCAGAUGGGAUUAGCUGGUUGGUGAGGUAACGGCUCACCAAGGCGACGAUCCCUAGC
RNAcentral lists this ribosomal RNA (288 nucleotides) under Salmonella enterica subsp. enterica serovar Agona. Its description in RNAcentral is "partial 16S ribosomal RNA". It matches the Rfam family "Bacterial small subunit ribosomal RNA", at positions 1 to 287 of the family's 1533-position model. The record is from RNAcentral. Lineage: Bacteria; Pseudomonadati; Pseudomonadota; Gammaproteobacteria; Enterobacterales; Enterobacteriaceae.